RNAcentral lists this ribosomal RNA (637 nucleotides) under uncultured bacterium. RNAcentral's name for it is "bacterial SSU rRNA". It matches the Rfam family "Bacterial small subunit ribosomal RNA", at positions 607 to 1244 of the family's 1533-position model. The record is from RNAcentral.
GCUCAACCGAGGAAGUGCUUCGAAAACUGGUAAACUUGAGUGCAGAAGAGGAAAGCGGAACUCCAUGUGUAGCGGUGGAAUGCGUAGAUAUAUGGAAGAACACCAGUGGCGAAGGCGGCUUUCUGGUCUGUAACUGACGCUGAGAUUCGAAAGCAUGGGUAGCAAACAGGAUUAGAUACCCUGGUAGUCCAUGCCGUAAACGAUGAGUGCUAAGUGUUGGAGGGUUUCCGCCCUUCAGUGCUGCAGCUAACGCAUUAAGCACUCCGCCUGGGGAGUACGACCGCAAGGUUGAAACUCAAAGGAAUUGACGGGGGCCCGCACAAGCGGUGGAGCAUGUGGUUUAAUUCGAAGCAACGCGAAGAACCUUACCAGGUCUUGACAUACCAUGAAAAGCUUAGAGAUAAGUCUUUCCCUUCGGGGACAUGGAUACAGGUGGUGCAUGGUUGUCGUCAGCUCGUGUCGUGAGAUGUUGGGUUAAGUCCCGCAACGAGCGCAACCCUUAUUAUCAGUUGCCAGCAUUCAGUUGGGCACUCUGGUGAGACUGCCGGUGACAAACCGGAGGAAGGUGGGGACGACGUCAAAUCAUCAUGCCCCUUAUGACCUGGGCUACACACGUGCUACAAUGGUCGGUACAACG